ACUCAAAGGAAUUGACGGGGGCCCGCACAAGCGGAGGAGCAUGUGGUUUAAUUCGAUGAUACGCGAGGAACCUUACCCGGGCUUGAAAGUUAGUGACCGGCUGAGAAAUCAGCCUUCCCGCAAGGGCACGAAACUAGGUGCUGCAUGGCUGUCGUCAGCUCGUGCCGUGAGGUGUUGGGUUAAGUCCCGUAACGAGCGCAACCCCUAUCAUUAGUUGCCAACAGGUAAAGCUGGGGACUCUAAUGAGACUGCCCGCGCAAGCGGUGAGGAAGGUGGGGAUGACGUCAAGUCAGCACGGCCCUUACGUCCGGGGCUACACACGUGCUACAAUGGGCUGUACAGAAGGAUGCUACCUGGUGACAGGAUGCUAAUCCCCAAAGCAGUUCUCAGUUCGGAUCGAAGUCUGCAACUCGACUUCGUGAAGCUGGAUUCGCUAGUAAUCGGAUAUCAGCAAUGAUCCGGUGAAUACGUUCCCGGGCCUUGCACACACCGCCCGU
RNAcentral lists this ribosomal RNA (497 nucleotides) under uncultured bacterium. Its description in RNAcentral is "partial 16S ribosomal RNA". It matches the Rfam family "Bacterial small subunit ribosomal RNA", at positions 899 to 1397 of the family's 1533-position model. The record is from RNAcentral.